This 883-nucleotide long non-coding RNA is filed under the name Hordeum vulgare. Its description in RNAcentral is "long non-coding RNA (HVUL_LNC003777)". The record is from RNAcentral. Lineage: Eukaryota; Viridiplantae; Streptophyta; Magnoliopsida; Poales; Poaceae.
CAAUUGAUGAAAAUAAGAAACUCUGCUAGUUGCAUAUCUUUUAAGGCAAGAAAAUAAUUAAUAAUUACACCUCUCUGUAGUCAGUAUUUUCAUCCAAUUGGGUUUCUGCACCAGUGUCUACUCAUUCACAAUAUACAUACAAAUUUAGAUAGCAGAACAUUGUAGAUCAGUAGGAAAUUUUCAUGGUAAAAUUCAUGUCAACAAAAAGAACAUGCAUAGAGCCAUCGUGAGAUUUGGGGCCACAAAAGUAGUAAGGAAAAGGAAGAAACAAACGAAGAUAAGGACAUUUUUGCUCGGUAGUACUCACUGAUCCGUGCUGAAGAGAAAGACAUGAGACUGGACAAAGAAGCACUGCUCUACGUUGUGAACACACCCAUCAGUUCAUGCACAUAAAGGGCACCAUCCUCGAGCAAAAUCAACUGAAAAAAUUGACGUCAAAAAGAGAGGAGUAUAUCUUCUAAACUCAAAUUAUAGCUACAACAAAACAAUGCUCGGCCUUCUCAAGCAAGGGCAAAAUUCAGAGAUGUACGUACUGAGGAGGUGUUCAAGUUGAGCAGACGCGAGGUACUGGAUGUCAAGGGGUAUGGUCAAGGGGUACAGGGGUGUACAUCAUCGGCGGCGCUGGGGAUUUGGCCGUUGCUGAUGAAAGUAUGACGUCUGUGCUCUCAAACACCACCAGAUGGUGGUAAAACUUCAGUAGUAGAGAGGACACCCAACCGAGAACAUCUAAAGAAACACAAAUCGUUAAUUCACUCUAGUUUAUUUUUGAUAGGAAAAAUAAGCAAUAGCGUUGUAAAAUAAAAGGAAUUGUCAGAUUCAGUAGCUUCAUAUGAGAAAUUGAAUGGACACACAAACGACGGUACUCAAUAAUCAAGUGGGUAAG